This 1053-nucleotide long non-coding RNA is filed under the name Struthio camelus australis. RNAcentral describes it as "lncRNA (ENSSCUG00000012698.1)". Lineage: Eukaryota; Metazoa; Chordata; Aves; Struthioniformes; Struthionidae. The record is from RNAcentral.
AUGCUGACAACGUUACGCAGACGAAAAGUUCCCCCAGGCUCCUGCAGGACGCACACAGCGCGCAUACUCAGGAGACCUUGCUUGGAACCAAAAAAAAAGAUUUCUGAAUAUCACCCAGCCUUAGCACGUGUCAACGAAACCCACUGGAAGAAGGUCCCACCUCCCGCUCACGGUGAUGCGAGGGUCACAGCCCUGCGUUGGUUCAAGGGGUGAAGUUCUGUGUGGCAGUGCGAACCACUCCAAGGAGCAAGGCGAAUGUGCCUAAAGCACUACUUUACAAAAUUAUUUAUUGUCUCAUAAUCUUUUAAAGUAGAAAAAUCUAACCUUGGAGACAGAAAACACAUUAGAAACAUCAUUAAACAUCAAUUGCAAAGCACUCAGACAUUACAAUACACCAGAAUUAAAGCGUCUUGCACAGCCUGGACUUGUUAGGUCAGUGCUUUCGGAUUGCCGUCAACUAUCUGCUCACACGCUGCUCUGCUGCAGUUUUCUCCGCUUUCUCUAAGAUUAGCAUGCCCAUGGUGGCACCAGUCUGGCAAAGACCUAUGGCUGUUUAAGAAGGAAGCUGAGGUUCAGGCUGCCAGCUAGGCUGGCUUGCUGAGGAGGAUGAAAGGUUUCUCUUUGGUUUCUCCCCGCGUUGAAGGCAACUGCCUGAUAACACAAGCCGCAGAGGGGCGAUCUGGUGGUUCACCUCUCACAGCACAGCUACCUCUGUGUCGGGCAUGGUGCGGGGCACCCACGCAGACCUGCCGAGCUGCAGUGGUAGGUUUAGGCUGAGCCCCCGGCACGAGUGAAGAGCAAGAAACUUAGGAGAUUAUCCUCCAGGAUGGCAAUAGGCAAGAUGCCUAGAGUAGGUAGCGGCUCUAAAAAUUGCUUGAGAUGUGCAGCCAGCCCUGGCACACCUCUUAACUGAGAACCAUCUUUUUACUGGGAUAAUCUAUCACACUUGAAAAAUUCUGAAAGGCUGUAUCUUUCCCCCAAACCAUCUUUAUCAUUUUAAUUUAAAAGCUUUUUAAAAUUAUCACCCAAAUAAAUGGUAAAUAGAACAGGGCA